GAUGAACGCUGGCGGCGUGCCUAAUACAUGCAAGUCGAGCGAACGGACGAGAAGCUUGCUUCUCUGAUGUUAGCGGCGGACGGGUGAGUAACACGUGGAUAACCUCCCUAUAAGACUGGGAUAACUUCGGGAAACCGGAGCUAAUACCGUAUAAUAUUUUGAACCGCAUGGUUCAAAAGUGAAAGACGGUCUUGCUGUCACUUAUAGAUGGAUCCGCGCUUCAUUAGCUAGUUGGUAAGGUAACGGCUUACCAAGGCAACGAUGCAUAGCCGACCUGAGAGGGUGAUCGGCCACACUGGAACUGAGACACGGUCCAGACUCCUACGGGAGGCAGCAGUAGGGAAUCUUCCGCAAUGGGCGAAAGCCUGACGGAGCAACGCCGCGUGAGUGAUGAAGGUCUUCGGAUCGUAAAACUCUGUUAUUAGGGAAGAACAUAUGUGUAAGUAACUGUGCACAUCUUGACGGUACCUAAUCAGAAAGCAACGGCUAACUACGUG
Molecule: ribosomal RNA, 497 nt
Filed under: uncultured bacterium
Lineage: Bacteria
Description: partial 16S ribosomal RNA
Rfam family: Bacterial small subunit ribosomal RNA
Source: RNAcentral